RNAcentral lists this transfer RNA (63 nucleotides) under unidentified. RNAcentral's name for it is "Exostira schroederi tRNA-Thr". It matches the Rfam family "tRNA". Rfam says of the family: Transfer RNA (tRNA) molecules are approximately 80 nucleotides in length. The record is from RNAcentral.
GUUUUUAUAAUUUAAUUAAAAAUAUUGGUCUUGUAAACCAAAAAUAAGAUCCCUUUAAAAACA